This 245-nucleotide long non-coding RNA is filed under the name Mytilus galloprovincialis (Mediterranean mussel). Lineage: Eukaryota; Metazoa; Mollusca; Bivalvia; Mytilida; Mytilidae. The record is from RNAcentral.
UGUGUGUGUUAUAUUUUAUUGUUGUGUUUCUGUCGUGUCGUAUAUUUGAUGUGUUUCCCUCAGGUUGUUUUUUUAACCCAGAUUCGUUUUUUCUCAAUCGAUUUAUGAAUUUCGAACAGCGAUAUACUACUGUUGCCUUUAUUAAAGAGGUUUUUACCUAAAAGUUUUGCAAAUUCAACAUAUUUUCCCGUAUUUUCGUAUACUAUAUUUUUUAUAAUGUGAUGGUGUUGUCAGGGUCGUCAACC